AACGAACGCUGGCGGCAUGCCUAACACAUGCAAGUCGAGCGCCCGUAGCAAUACGGGAGCGGCGCACGGGUGAGUAACGCGUGGGAACCUGCCCAGAGGUUCGGGACAACCGCGGGAAACUGCGGCUGAUACCGGAUGAUACCUGAGGGUCAAAGAUUUAUCGCCUUUGGAGGGGCCCCGCGUCGGAUUAGGUAGUUGGUGGGGUAACGGCCUACCAAGCCUAUGAUCCGUAACUGGUCUGAGAGGAUGACCAGUCACACUGGGACUGAGACACGGCCCAGACUCCUACGGGAGGCAGCAGUGGGGAGUAUUGGACAAUGGGGGGCAACCCUGAUCCAGCAAUGCCGCGUGGGUGAUGAAGGCCUUCGGGUUGUAAAGCCCUUUCGGCGGGGACGAUGAUGACGGUACCCGCAGAAGAAGCCCCGGCUAACUUCGUGCCAGCAGCCG
This 447-nucleotide ribosomal RNA is filed under the name uncultured bacterium. RNAcentral describes it as "bacterial SSU rRNA". It matches the Rfam family "Bacterial small subunit ribosomal RNA", at positions 28 to 517 of the family's 1533-position model. The record is from RNAcentral.